Molecule: RNA transcript, 2188 nt
Organism: Melopsittacus undulatus (budgerigar)
Lineage: Eukaryota; Metazoa; Chordata; Aves; Psittaciformes; Psittaculidae
Gene name: translation initiation factor IF-2-like
Exons: 4
Source: RefSeq, a predicted model, not a curated record
UACGGGGUUCUGUGGGGCUUUAUGAGGGGUAUCUGGAGUUCUGCAUUCCCAUUAUGGGGUUCUGUGGGGGCCCUGCGAGCCCCGAGAGGAGGGAACGGGACGGGAACGGAGCUUCCGGCCGCGCCGCGCUCGUCAGGGCCAUCUUGGAACAAAAAAUGGCGGCAGCGCAGGCGCGGUGCGGCCGUUACCACGGCAACGCGGACGCCAUGAGGGGUGAGGUGCCGUACUCAGGCUAGCACCUCACCAAGAUGGCCGCCCCGUAGUGCCGUACGUCAAAAUGGCGUCUCACUAAUUUGGCCUGUCCCGGCGCCCGUACUCAAGAUGGCGCCUAUCAAGUGGCAUCAGUGCACCCCCCCCCCGUGCCCGCCCCUGUCUCCCCUCUCCCCAUGGCGGCGCAGAGCCGCGCUCCCCCCCAGCCGCCUCCCUCCCCUCUCCUCACGGCUCCUGCUCCCGCACCUCUCUCUGCACCUCCUCCAUGGCCGCCCUAUGGCGGCGGGCGGGGCGGGGAGGGGCGGGAGGGGGCAGGAGGAGGAAGGGAACCGAGUGGUUCCGGGAGGAGCCGACACCUCCCAUUGCCCCCCCCGCCGGGCACGGCUCAGCCCGGAUCGGCACGGCACGGCUCGGCUCGGCCCAGGGUAGAACCGGGGCACCGAGGGGGUCUGGGGCAGGCCGGCAGCCGGAGGGGGGCAGUCGCGGGGGGGCGGCGCUGCUGUCCCGGCCUGCAGCGGGGACCGUGUCCCCCUUCCCAUCCCUCCUGCCGGAGGCACUCGUGUUCCCCGCGGCCGCUCCGGGUCACGGUCUCCACGGCAACAGCUGCUGCCGCCGCUCCGGGUCACGGUCUCCACGGCAACAGCUGCUGCCGCCGCUCCGGGUCACGGUCUCCACGGCAACAGCUGCUGCCGCCGCUGCUGCACGGACUCGGCAUCCACCUCCUGCACGGCGCCACCACCGUGGUCUUUGGGGAUGUUUCUCAUCACACCCCAAAGCUUUUCCAGGAGUCAAACGCAUCGGUUUCCCUCUCUUCCCCCAAGAAAGGGGAAGUUUGUGGCCGGUUGCAAUGAUAGCACCUGGAGUGGUGCUGCCCUGAAACAGGAUGAAAUGGCUGCAUCCUUCCGGGAGGCUGCCUCCGAAAGCAGAAUUGCCCUGUGAGCUGGAGAGGUGCCCCUGCAGUGAGGGCCCGUGCCCAGGGAGGCAUGGGGAGCUGGGGACUUGGCACUUUCCUGCCUAUCAUAGAGGACUGUGAUGUACGAUGGUAAUGAAUGCAUCUUUAUUUAUAGAUAUGAUACUAUGAAAUAGCUUUAUUAUCCCUUGCUAAAAAUGCUUCCUUUUUUGCUUUCUUAGCAGUCAGUGCAAAAAUUCAAGUUAAUAUCAUAAUAUCAUGGUAAAAGCUGCAAGCUCUGAAGUGGUACAGGCUGGCAGGAAGCUCCCAGUGUAUGGUUUGGUGUGAGCAGCACCGAUGUAUUAGGUUUGGCAUAGUAGUACAUGGGUUUUUUUUUCUUGUUUUUUAGUGGCCAUCUAUGCCAUCUAUGCAUCUAUGCUUAACUUGUUAACAAUUUAUGUUCAUAUGUACGAGGAGGAGGAACAUAAAGAUGAUGUAAGGAUAGACAGGUUUGUAAAACCAGCCAUUUCUUCAAGGGACGGCUGCUGCAGCAAUACCCUGCUUGCACGAUGCCCUAUAUGAGUGUCUGUUUUGAGCGAGUUUUACACGUGACCUGCACCCUGAUCAUGCGUUCUUUUUAGGCUGCACACCCGCCUAUCAGCCUCAUCAGCGUUGAUGCUGUGGACCCACAUCAGUGGUUUCUUGAGCUUUGAGAAAAACCCAGUUCUUGUUCUUAGAUAAAUACAAGAACCCUUCUGUUUCAGAGCAGCGUGCAGCCAUGUGCACACUGUGUGUGCCAGAACAGACCCUUUCAAGAGCUCCAGAAGACUUUUUUAGCCUCUUUCUUUCAUCUGCAAGACCAAAAAGGAAAGAGAGGUUUCUGCAACUGGGAAGCAGGAGAAGAGAGCGGAGUGACAAGACUUCACCUGUACCGUAGCUGAUGGUGGGCUCACAGACCAGAACACACACAGCCUAUUGCACAGAUCGGCUUUCCUGGCAGCCCCGGGCAGCACUUGCAGGGACAGAGGUAUGGGACGCCUAAAAAUAGUUACUGAAAGAGACUAAAAGACAAGGACAGCUGGAAAAAAC